Molecule: RNA transcript, 1649 nt
Organism: Myiozetetes cayanensis
Lineage: Eukaryota; Metazoa; Chordata; Aves; Passeriformes; Tyrannidae
Exons: 8
Source: RefSeq, a predicted model, not a curated record
GUCCUUAAACAAAAACUUUACGUAUGUAUUGAAAAAUUCAGAAGUAGCACGAUUAAUGAGACACUUUUAUGGAACUACCCAGUUUUCCUAAAAGAAAAUAUGCAGGAUAAGUUAUCAGGAAGCUUCUAUCAGUUUUAAGUUAAUUAGUAAUUCUUCAUAGAGAAGGAUGCUGUAAAACAGGCUCAAAAUCCAUGAUCCUUGACUCUCCUAUGGUAGCAGAAAGGAGGGUUCAUUCUGCUGCUGGCAGAGUCUGGAAGAAAGAGUGUUUUAUCCCAGUUGGCUCCAGGAUGUCCUUUGUGGAAGUCGUGCUCUGUGUCCUGUUCCUGGCCAGCGGAUCCCUGGGUGAACAAGGAGCUCCAAAACCCAACUGCACUGGAGUGGAGGACUUUGAGGCCUGCCUGGGUAACACAACUGAGUUCUGUCCCAGCAAUAUUUCUUGUCUGUGUAAAAAUGAAGAACCUUUCUGCAGUUGUAAUUACUUCAGAGUGGGCUGGAAGGACUACUGGUACAUGGGCCCCAAAUGUAACCACCUUUGGAACACUCUAGAUUUCAUUUUAGUUGCUACUGUUCCUGCACUAACACUGGUUCUCAUCGUGACUGUAAUAUUUUCAUCUCUCUACUGCUGUAAAAGUGAAAAAACUGGCAGGAAGCAGCUAAACUCUCCCUACCGUGAGGCUCAGCACAACCCUGCCUUCAGUGCUGACUCCCCUGUUCCCCAGGGGCACAGGCACCCACAGCCACCCAGGGAUCUGGAUAGCUGGAGUGGACAAAUUCCAAAAGCUUCACUGAGAAGACAAGAUUUUGAUGAUGUCUCAAUCCCAAGCCAAAGAGGGACUUACGUUCCUGUGUAUCCCCAGCCCCUGAGGACACCAGACCCAGCCCCAAACCGUUUCUCUCAGCCCAGGCCCCAGCAGGAAGGAUUUGACUAUCCCAGCAGGAAUUUGCCUUAUGCUGAUUAUGCAGGGGGGAGACAGUAUCAGAAAUACUAAGAACAAGUGCUUCCUAUAUCAGAAAUAUCUUGGAAUGCUGCUGAUCACCAGGUAAUCCAGAUGCUGAAAGGGCAGUGAGACCCUGUGGAUUGGGACACAGAGGAAAUGGCCAUCACUUUCAUUAGAAAGCACUAAAAGUUAUUGCAAAGAAAAGCCUCGGGAAGUGCCACAAUCUGACAAACUGUGGUUGUUGUUGACCUCGAUCCAGCUGUUUUAUCAACCUCAGAGUGACCACAGGAUUCAAGAGUGUUCAGUUUGAUAUUCCACCACUGCUUUGAAAAGGAAUAGGAGGAAGAGAUAAGGCAAUGCUGUCACAUAUCCAUGGUGCUCCUCAGCUCCCACUGCCGUGCUGGGUCCGUGACAGGAGCUCAGGUGAUCCCACCCCCACAGCUCUGCCCCCGUGGAGACCCCUGGACAUGGUGGAGGUACCCAGCAGUCACAGAAUAGUGGGGUUGGAAGGGACCUCUGGAGAUCAUCCAGUCCAAGCCAUCCCUACCAAGGCAGGGUCACCCCGAGCAGGUGACACAGGAACAUCUCCAGGUGGGUUUGGAAUGUCCCCAGAGAGGGAGACUCCACACCUGCCCUGGGCAGCUGUUCCAGUGCUCUGCCACCCUUGUGGGAAGAAGUUCUUCCUCAUGUUGAGGUGUAACUUACUGUGUU